RNAcentral lists this long non-coding RNA (7156 nucleotides) under Triticum aestivum (bread wheat). RNAcentral's name for it is "long non-coding RNA (TAES_LNC007500)". Lineage: Eukaryota; Viridiplantae; Streptophyta; Magnoliopsida; Poales; Poaceae. The record is from RNAcentral.
UCAUCUCUUGCCAUGAGUAGCUUCAUGUAGCUUGGUCAUGCAUCAUGCUUGUUGUGCAUCAUGCCUUGUUCAUGUGUGGUGUGUUUACCUUUGUUGUGUGCUUCUUCUUGUUAGUUCCUGUUUCGUUGCGAUCGUGAGGAUUCGUUCGUCUACCUGUGGUUCGUCUUCGUGGCUUCAUCUUCUUCAUGGACUCGUUCUUCUUCCUUGCGGGAUUUCAGGCAAGAUGACCGCUACCAUGGAUCUCACUACUAUCAUUGCUAUGCUAGUUGCUUCGUUCUAUCGCUAUGCUGCGCUACCUAUUACCUGUUUAUCCAGCCAUCCCAUAUUGCCAUGAACCUCUAACCUUUGACACCAUUCCUAGCAAACCAGUGUUUGGCUAUGUUACCGCUUUUGCUCAGCCCCUCUUAUAGUGUUGCUAGUUGCAGGUGAAGUUGAAGAUUUCUCCAUGGUGGACAGGGUUUAUGUUGGGAUAUCACAAUAUCUCUUAUAUUAUUAAUGCAUCUAUAUACUUGGUAAAGGGUGGAAGGCUCGGCCUUAUGCCUGGUGUUUUGUUCCACUCUUGCCGCCCUAGUUUUCGUCAUACUGGUGUUAUGUUCCCGGAUUUUGCGUUCCUAACGCGGUCGGGUGAUUUAUGGGACCCCCCUGACAGUUCGCUUUGAAUAAAACUUGUCCAGCAAGGCCCAACCUUGGUUUUACCAUUUGCCUCACCACCACCUACUUUUUCCCUUGGGAGUCGCUCUCUCGAGGGUCAUCUUUAUUAUAGCCCCCCGGGCCAAUGCUUGUCUAAGUGUUGGUCCAAACUAGAGCACCGUGCGGGACCAUUCCUUGGCAACUUGGAUUCGUCGGUACCUGUACGCUUCGCUUAUCCGGUGUUGCCCUGAGAACGAGAUAUGUGCAGCUCCUAUCGGGAUUGUCGGCGCAUCGGGCCGCUUUGCUGGUCUUGUUUUACCAUUGUCGAAAUGUCUUGUAAACCGGGAUUCCGAGACUGAUCGGGUCUUCCUGGGAGAAGGUUUAUUCCUUCGUUGAUCGCGAGAGCUUGUCAUGGGAUAAGUUGGGACACCCCUGCAGGGAUUAAACUUUCGAGAGCCGUGCCCCCGGUUAUGUGGCAGAUGGGAAUUUGUUAAUGUCCGGUUGUAGAUAACUUGACACCAGAUCCGAUUUAAAACGCAUCAACCGUGUGUGUAGCCGUGAUAGUCUCUUCUCGGCGGAGUCCGGGAAGUGAACACGGUUUCUGUGUUAUGUUUGACGUAAGUAGGUGUUCAGGAUCACCUCUUGAUCAUUGCUAGUUCACGAUCGUUCCUUUGUUUCUCUUCUCGCUCUCAUUUGCGUUGGUUAGCCACCAUACUUGCUUAGUCGCUGCUGCAACCUCACCACUUUACCCCUUCCUUUCCCAUUAAGCUUUGCUAGUCUUGAUACCCAUGGUAAUGGGAUUGCUGAGUCCUCGUGGCUCACAGAUUACUACAACAACAGUUGCAGGUACAUGUUGCGAUGAUCAUGACGCGAGAGCGAUGCUUGCUUGCGUUGAGUUUCUUCUUCUGCUUCUUCGAUCAGGGGAUAGGUUCCAGGUCGGCAGCCUGGGCUAGCAGGGUGGAUAUUGUUUGAGUUUCUGUUUAUGAUUCAUCCGUAGUCGGAUGUUGUUCUUGUAUGUUGUAUUGUUGUAUUCAUGUGGCAUUGUAUGCCUUAUGUAUGUAUCCCCAUCUAUUAUGUAAUGUUGAUGUAAUGAUAUCCACCUUGCAAAAGCGUUCCAAUAUGCGGGUCUAUCCUUGGUGGGACCUUCGAGUUCCUUUUGGAUAGGGUCGCAUAUUGGGUGUGACAAGUUGGUAAUCAGAGCCUUGACCGACCCUAGGAGCCCCCCUUGAUUGAUCGUGUAGUUUGGCCGUUGUUGAGUCUAGAAGAAAACUGUUUUCGGAGUCUAGUUAUAUCGGAGAGUAGGAAUUCUUUUUACUCCUCUGCCCCUUCGUCGCUCUGGUGAGGAAUUUUGACGUAGGUGUUUUGAACUACUCCUCUUCCCCUUCAAAUUUUUCUUUAGGAUCUCGCGGUUAGUUUUCGUUCGUUGUCCCUCCUCUUUUGUCCGGUGCAUUCCUCGUCAAGCUGAUUCGAACCUCUCUCUCUUUGGGAGAUCAAUCCUCUGCUCUUUUCGAUCGAUGUUGUUUCCCUGUCCGAAGUUGUCCUUGUUUUUCCCACCCACCCACCCUUUUUCGUCUCAGAACCGGAGUCCAUAAUCGAGUAUCCAUCCUACUCGUGCGAAGUCUUUGCUUUCGUUCCUCAAUGAUUUCAACCGGUGUUUCCUCUUCAAGAUAUUCGUCGAUUCCCCCUUCCAGUUGCCUGUGUUUUCCCNNNNNNNNNNNNNNNNNNNNNNNNNNNNNNNNNNNNNNNNNNNNNNNNNNNNNNNNNNNNNNNNNNNNNNNNNNNNNNNNNNNNNNNNNNNNNNNNNNNNNNNNNNNNNNNNNNNNNNNNNNNNNNNNNNNNNNNNNNNNNNNNNNNNNNNNNNNNNNNNNNNNNNNNNNNNNNNNNNNNNNNNNNNNNNNNNNNNNNNNNNNNNNNNNNNNNNNNNNNNNNNNNNNNNNNNNNNNNNNNNNNNNNNNNNNNNNNNNNNNNNNNNNNNNAAUUCCAUUCGUGCGGAGCCUCUUCAGGUCUUCCCUCAAUCAUUUCACCCGGUGAAUUCUCGUCUCAUUCGUCAUUCUUCAUCCCUUUCUUUUUCCGGUGCACUCAAUUCAAGUAUUCGGUGUUGAUCAUAUUCUUUUCCUCGGUUCAAGUGUUUUCCCUGCUCGUUCGCCUCUCGCCAUUCAAUCAUUCCGGAGUUCAAGACAUCUCAGGAGAUUCGUCUGUGUUCUAAUUAAUUCGAGGUUGUCACCUCAUUCAAAUAUUUCAAUCGUUCCGGUGCAUCAUCUAUCUGUUCAACAUCCCUUUCCAACGGUGUUUUUCUCUUCAGUGGGCCCUAACCCACAGGUCUUUUCCCAGGAUCUUACCUGACUCUUCUGAUUCCCUGGAGUUAUUCUCAUUUCUUUUCAAGUGUGACGUAAGAAUGGAGUUCAUCAGUCACAUGCCUUUCCAAGAUCGAUUUCAAAUCAUUUCAUUUUUGGCUCAACCUCUUUGCUUUUCAUUCUCCCGGAGUAUCUCAGUAAUUUUGGUGGCGUUCCUCGUCGUCAUUUGAAGAUCGAAGAAGUGUUUUUCCUCUAAAUCUUGUCUGUUCUCUCGAAGUUUCGUGGUUCCAGCUUCAUGUUAUCCUCUCGAAUUAUUCCAUUUGUCAGAUAUUCUUUCUUACCCAUCCGGAGUAUGUCAGGAGUUGUUUGUCCAUUUCUUUUCAUCCGGAGGCCAUCUUUUCGGAAGAUUUCUUCGUUCUAAGUUUUUCAAAUUAGUUCUCCAAUUAUUCUAUAUCCGUGCCCCUUCGUUCAUCUCAGUAUUCUUCCCGGUGAUUCAUUCUCUUUCAUCAGUCAUUUUGAAUUCUUACGGUGGUUCAUUCAAGUUUCUUUUUCUUUGUUUAUCAUAUUAAUCCAUUCGUUCUUUUCAAUCCUACCAGUGGUUCAUGAAGACCUUCUCAAGUUUGAGAUAUGUCACUUCUCAAUCCUUUUCAAGAGGAAUAAGUUGCAUGCCAAAUCCUCUCGUCACCCAUUAAAUUGGUUGAGGAUAAGCAUACAAUAAAUCUUAUUCUUAUUUCAUCCAAGUGAGUAAUUCCUUCCUUCGGAGUUUGUUCUUGAUGAAUAAAUUCUAGUUCCAAGUGUUUUCAUCUUCUCUUUUCCGGAGUUCAAAUUUCCUCGGCCAUCUCGUCGGAACCUCCGUCUAAAUCACCGCAAGGCUAAUCUUAUUCUUUCAUCCUUCAUUCUAUCUCAUCAUCCUUUUGUACCGGAGUUCUUCAUGGUGGUCCUUCAUGAUUUAAUUCAUUCUUCAAGAGUUCAUCAAGUACCAUUCCAUCCUCUCAAGUUCGUUCUAAUCCUCCCAUUUUCAGUCGGAGUGCUACCUAAAUUCUUUCAGUCUCAUUCGUUUCUUAUCUCGUUCUAACAGGAGUGAUUUCAUAGUCUAUCUCAUUCCGUGAGCUUUCCAUUCUCGUCAUUCUCGUCGUUCCUCUCUUCUUCUCGAGUGCUCUCGAUUCUUUGCUUCUUCUCUUGACUUCUUGCUUCACCUCAUCCCUUUUUCCCUUCCGUCUCGGUCCUAAGAUCUCGGGACGAGAUCUCUUGUUAGUGGAGGAGUGUUGUAACGCCCCGGAUUCGAUGCGCCAGGUGUCCGCCAGUUAUUCGCCGUCGUUGCCAUGUCAUUUGCUUGCGUGUUGCAUUUUAUCAUGUCAUCAUGUGCAUCUCAUUUUGCAUACAUGUUCAUCUCAUGCAUCCGAGCAUUUUGCCCGUUGUCCAUUUUGCAAUCCGGCACUCCUAUGUCAUCCGGCGUUCCCCUUUUGUCUUCUGUUGUGAGCGGGUGUUAAACUUUCUCGGAAUGGCCCGAGGUUUGCCAAGCGGCCUUGGUAUAGCACCGGUAGACCGCCUGUCAAGUUUCGUGCCAUUUGGAGGUCGUUUGAUACUCCAACGGUUAACCGGGUAACCGCAAAGCCCUCUUUGGUUGCAGCCCAACACCCCUUCCAAAGUGGCCCAAAACCCAUCUAACUGCCCUCCAUGCUCUCGGUCAUUCGAUCACGAUCGCGUGGCCGAAAACCGCUCCUCAUUUGGACUCUCCUAGCUCCUCCUACCUAUAAAUAUGCCCCUCCCCCGAAAUUCGCAGAUCAAAUCGCCCCUAACCCUAGCUUCGUCCUGAUCCCGCAGCCGGACAGGUCCGGACCCCGCCGGACAUGUCCGCCCGCCGCUGCCCGCCUCCAGCUCCGGCGACCGGAGCGCCCCGCACGCCUCGCCCCCGCCUGGAUCCGACCGGCCCCGUCUCCCUCCGGCCUUCCCCGACCACGUCGGCAGCCCCUCCUCGUCCAACUCCGGCGCCCGGCGCAGAUCCAAUCUGGAGGUUGACUUUCUUCCUCCCCCCGAAAUGCCUAAGUCCCCGUUUAUUUUGCAUAAUCAUGCCAUGUUUGACCUGCCGUAUCUCUGCAUCCGUAGCUCCGUUUCAUGCGUAUAAUAUGUCAAAUUGUUCGACUCGACGAGUACUUCAUUUCAUUCCAUUGCAUCAUUUCCAUUUGAGCUCAUCUUGAUGCCCGAAAUGCUGUUGGAAGAGUGCAUGUUGAUGUUAAUCUGCUGAAAUUGUUAUAACUUGCUCAUUUGUCAUUUUUGCCAUGAUUGAUGUGUGCAUCCUAUGAGGUUGAUGUCUUCAUGUGUUUUGAUCUAUGCCAUGCCAUCUUUCCAGGGGUGUAUGCCAUCUAUUUUUGUGAUCAAUGUGGUGACUAGCACAAGCAUGCAAACUAGGCUUCGUGAUAUUGCUGAUUUUAGUCCCUGUUCUGCUGUUAUUUUGAUGCCAUGUAAACUUGAUGCUACAGAGAGAUCCAUGCAUAUUUAGAGAUACUUCAGUAAGGGUGUUUUGAACAUAUGGUUAUUGUCUAUCUAUUCAUGCCCUUGUUUGCAAUUAUGGAGUAGUCUAGCAUGUCAUUUGAGUGAUCUACUUUUUCUUCAAAAUAUUUCCUGGCAGAUUGUUUACUUGUUAUUCAAUUUGGCCAAGCUUGCUAUAGUUAAUCCUUGCAUGCUAUGGACUUGUUCUUGACUUGGUUGGUUACACAAACAUGUCUUCUUGAUGAUGCUAUGCUUUUCUUGCCAUGCAAUGACUUGUGGUGAGUGAAUCGAGCUUGUUAAGUAGUGUACUUGUUGUUGCUGUUUUACUAGACAGAUUCUGUUAUAUUUUGUUGCUAUGUUAACAUGCUUCUAGUAAUCAUUCUAUGCAUAAUCUGGAGAUGUUCUAUAAACAUGUUUUGAUCUACAUGUCAUGCUCUUUCAAUCCAUGCCCCUGGUUGCAUUUAUAGCUUGUUGUAGAUUGUUCAUAUCUUGCUCCAAAGUUGCUUGAUGAUGUUGGUGUCAGUCUGUUAACAUUAAGUUCACUUGUUCCCAUGUGUUUUCCUAGUGAUCCUUGAAUCCUAUGACCUUGCUCUUGACAUGCUUAGCUUCAUAAACAUGCCUUAUUACUGUUGGGUGCCUUGCCAUGCCAUGUAUUGCUCUGUGGUGAGUGGUUCAAGCUCACCAACAUGCCUACUUAUUGUUGUUCCUGCCAUGUUUGAAUCUGUCAUAAAACUUGCCAUGUUUACAUGGGUGCCAUCAUAUUUUCUGAUCCUUUUUGACUCUUGGUCAGUAAGGGAAUUUUGAUCUAUGCUAUUAGUAGAUUCAUGCCAUGCCAUUAUUUGCCAUGAUAUGUUCCUGUAACAUGUUGUUUGCUUGCUCUAAACAUUGCAACCUGAUGUUAUUUCCUGAUAAGUCUAAAACUGUUAUUAUUUGCAAUCUUCCCAUGUCUUUUUGAGAAUGUUCUAGUUGUUUCUGGAGAUAGCUCAGUGUUCAUGUUUUGUAGUGCCUUACCAGUACUUCAUGCCCAUGCCUUUUGUUAUUAUGUUGGGGUGCUGUAGCAUGUUGUUUUGAUGCUUGCAAUAUGCCUAGUUGCUGUUUUGGACAGAUUGUUGCUAUGACUUGUAUAGAGUGUAUGUGUUGCACCGUUGCUCCGUUUUGAGUGUGCUCUAUAUGAAACUUGCUUGAUUUUGCAUGUAGCUUCAUAUUACCAUGUUGCAUCCUUGUUUUGGUGUGUUUGCUUGAUGUUUGGGUGCAUUUUGAAUCAAUGCCAUGCUUAACUUGUUUUGCUCAUAUCUUCUAGACCGUAGCUCCGAAUCUAAUGAACUUUAUAUGUAACUUGACUAGAAUCUCGUGUAGAUCAUCUUGGUGCAUCUUAACUUGCUGUUUAACAACUUGAGCAUAAGUUUUAUUCAGUUCUGGACCAAUUUCGAAAUUUGCAUAUGAGAAUUUACCGGAAUUGUUAUAUGUUGUUCCCGGCCUCAUUUAAACUUGCCUUGAUGUGUUGUUCUUGUUUGCAUCAUCUCUUGCCAUGAGUAGCUUCAUGUAGCUUGGUCAUGCAUCAUGCUUGUUGUGCAUCAUGCCUUGUUCAUGCGUGGUGUGUUUACCUAUGUUGUGUGCUUCUUCUUGUUAGUUCCUGUUUCGUUGCGAUCGUGAGGAUUCGUUCGUCUACGUGUGGUUCGUCUUCGUGGCUUCAUCUUCUUCAUGGACUCGUUCUUCUUCCUUGCGGGAUUUCAGGCAAGAUG